RNAcentral lists this ribosomal RNA (253 nucleotides) under uncultured bacterium. Its description in RNAcentral is "partial 16S ribosomal RNA". It matches the Rfam family "Bacterial small subunit ribosomal RNA", at positions 524 to 776 of the family's 1533-position model. The record is from RNAcentral.
AACGUAGGUGACGAGCGUUAUCCGGAUUUACUGGGCGUAAAGCGCGUGCAGGCGGCUUCGCAAGUCGGGCAUGAAAUCUCACGGCCUAACCGAGAGACGCUGUCCGAUACUGCGAGGCUUGAGGGCGGUAAAAGGUGGCGGAAUUCCGCAUGUAGUGGUGAAAUGCGUAGAGAUGCGGAGGAACACCAGUGGCGAAGGCGGCCACCUAGGCCGUCCCUGACGCUGAAGCGCGAAAGCUAGGGUAGCGAACGGG